Microcebus murinus (gray mouse lemur) is the source of this 701-nucleotide long non-coding RNA. RefSeq lists it as uncharacterized. The record is from RefSeq and is a predicted model, not a curated record. NCBI's taxonomy places the organism in Eukaryota, Metazoa, Chordata, Mammalia, Primates, Cheirogaleidae.
CCUGGGAGCAAAGCUGAAGCUCCCGGAGGAGCCACGUGCGUUUGCCAAAGUGGAGAACUAAACCAAACAGCAAGCACCCAGAAUUAGGUAUCUCCAAUCCUGGAAAAUGGGCACGCCAUGGUGACAACUUCCAGGCCCAAGGAAAUCUUCUUUGGCCUGAGUGAUCAGAAGGCCCCACUGGAUGCUGCUGACCAUGGGUGACUGACAGCCAAACAACCCAGUUAGGGCCCCACAUUGUAAGGACACUUUUAGCUUUCAGCGCUGGGCCGGUGGCUAGGGAGAAAACGUUACUGCCAAUGCUUACCUUGCUCCCUAACUCAGACUACUGUUGGAGAAUCAGGGAUUAUCCCUGCUCCCAAGAGGAGUUUUGAAAUUUCAAUUGUCCACCCGCCAAAAUACCACACCUCUUCCUGUCUCUAAAACAAACAAUAUGACAGUUUUUCUUUGAAAUACCACUUAAGGCUUCAUUUUGACCAUUUCACCUCCAAGAGUCAAAAAGGGAGAGCUCAUUCUUUGGUUAGCUAGAAGAGUUAAGAUCAAUCAAUUCAAUAGCAACAUCUGGCCCACCCUGUUGCGAUCUUACCACUAUCAUAUUUUUAAAAGGUUUGGGUCAAGCUGAGGAGAGCUCUGGAAAGUUUAAUCCCAUCCCUAGCAGCCUUAGGGAUGAAUCAGAUCUGUCUGAAUAAACCAGUGGUUCUCAA